UAGCUCAGUUGGUAGAGCAUGGUGUUUGCAACGCCAGGGUUGUGGGUUCGAAUCCCAC
Non-coding RNA from Salmo salar (Atlantic salmon), 58 nucleotides. NCBI's taxonomy places the organism in Eukaryota, Metazoa, Chordata, Actinopteri, Salmoniformes, Salmonidae. The record is from Rfam.